GAUCAUGGCUCAGGAUGAGCGCUGGCGGCGUGCUUAACACAUGCAAGUCGAACGAAGCUCCUUGAACUGAAGAUUCGUCUGAUGGGAUAGGAAGACUUAGUGGCGGACGGGUGAGUAACGCGUGGGUAACCUGCCGUAUACAGGGGGAUAACAGUUAGAAAUGACUGCUAAUACCGCAUAAGCGCACAGUGAGGCAUCUCACAGUGUGAAAAACUCCGGUGGUAUACGAUGGACCCGCGUCUGAUUAGCCAGUUGGCAGGGUAACGGCCUACCAAAGCGACGAUCAGUAGCCGGCCUGAGAGGGUGAACGGCCACAUUGGGACUGAGACACGGCCCAAACUCCUACGGAAGGCAGCAGUGGGGAAUAUUGCACAAUGGGGGAAACCCUGAUGCAAGCGACGCCGCGUGAGUGAAGAAGCAUUUCGGUGCGUAAAGCUCUAUCAGCAGGGAAGAAAAUGACGGUACCUGACUAAGAAGCCCCGGCUAACUACGUGCCAGCCGCAGC
This 505-nucleotide ribosomal RNA is filed under the name uncultured bacterium. RNAcentral describes it as "bacterial SSU rRNA". It matches the Rfam family "Bacterial small subunit ribosomal RNA", at positions 15 to 518 of the family's 1533-position model. The record is from RNAcentral.